UCAAUAAGGUUUUGGAUUGCUUUGGUUUGAGUCAAUCCAUUAAUUUUGACCCAUUUUGACAUCCCUAGUUUUGGGUAAUCCAUUUCUCUUCAAUGGCGGAGAUCUAAACGAACUUGGUUAUGGUGCUGAAUUCAACAGCUCUAGGGUUUUCUUCUUUCUCCCUUUCUUAUUAUCUCAAGGCAGUGAUGGGAUGGAUUUGUCUAAGGUUGGUGAAAAAUUCCUCGGCUUUGUUAAAUCUGUUACUUCGCUUGGUCUCUUACCUUCUGCUUCUUUCUCUCAUCAUCCUGAGGUAAUCUCCGAUUCGUAACAUCAAUGGAGUUUGUUUUUAAGAGAAUUGAAAUUAUUUUUUAAGUGUGGAGAUUAAAAAAUCCAUCUUAUUGUAAAUUCUAGCAUGUGUUGCAGUUGCUGCUGCGGUUGCUCGUCUUGCCACUCUGUAAGCAUUCAUUUUUAAAUCUCCAUUUAGCUUUCUCGACAAAGGAACGAAAUUGUCAUCUCUACUACCUCUUCUCCGACUUGAGAAUUGAGAGAUGGAUGAUAAACUCCGAUUUGUUAGCCUUUUUUCUUUUAGUUCUCAGUCAAUCUCGUCAUCCUCAAUGCUUGUGUUAAAUUUCAAUCAUCAUCUGUCUAUUCAUUCUCAUUUCCUAGAUUUUUUUCUGAUAUGUUUGUGUAGCAAUUCUUAGUACAAUAGCUUGAUCCAGAAUAUUAGAUAUGAUGCGAUUUGUUUAAACAUUGUUAUGGUAUGUUACAAUUGAGGUUCUUUAAAGGUUUAUGAUUAGGGUAUAUUCAAAAACUGGGUUCCAAGUAGCCUCAUUGGUAUUGCUUUGGGUCUUUAUGUAUUAUGUUCUAAGAUAAAUCAAAAACUGGGCUUAUCUGUUGACAUUAAAAGAGUAACUAACAUUUCAAAUGCUGGUCCAUUGUCAUUUUUCUUAAUUGUUAAUUGCAUAUGUGUUUAGCACUUGACUUGUUUUACAUGUUGGCCCUAUUUCUCUGGCUGUUUUCCCUCCAAAAAAUCAUGAUUUCUUACUUAUGCUUAUAUUUUGUCCUUAUACAACAUUACCGUGAGAACAUGAUGAUGUGGGUAUUUGGCUUAUGGCUCUCUUGUGUGGAACUAAUGAUUUCACUACGAUGAGAAAGUGUUAGGUUUCAUCAAGGGAUAUAAACGUGUCUAUGACUUUGGUAACUCUAUAGUCUUUGGUUAAGGCUUUCACUAUGAAGCCGGAAAACAAGUCACAAACCAAACCAUAAGUGUUUAAUUAACCAAACCAUGUUCUUUGGGGUCACUACAUCAGUGACAAGCUAGGACAAAGAUGAGACUUGCUGAAGUUUAAUUUUGGAGGACUUCCCAAUACUUGCCAUGGUCUUUACUACUGCAAUGUCUUAAGUGGCGUCAUUAGAGGAGCUUUGGAAAUGGUUUUGAUGACAUGGACGUGUGAUGUUCUUCGAGGGGAUGAUGCUUAUGAGUUGCAGGAGAAGCUACUGAAACAAGUCGCAGAGGAGUACAACGACGAUGAACAAUUUGUUCAAAAUUACAAAUUUGUGCAAGGAACAAACUGAAUGUACAAUGGACUACAAUAAAACCCAAUACUAGCAAACUUUUUCUAAAGACCAAAUAAUUAUUUAGCUUGUGAUAAGAGCGUUUAGUGGAGCAGACGAGCAGCCGCUGCUUCUAUACCAUAUACACGAUAUACUUGUGAGUUGGUAUGUAUCUUUUUAAAUAAUGUUGGCCGACCAAACAAGUUAAAAAUAGAAACUUCGAUUA
This is a long non-coding RNA of Camelina sativa (false flax), 1759 nucleotides long. RefSeq lists it as uncharacterized. The record is from RefSeq and is a predicted model, not a curated record. NCBI's taxonomy places the organism in Eukaryota, Viridiplantae, Streptophyta, Magnoliopsida, Brassicales, Brassicaceae.